This 253-nucleotide ribosomal RNA is filed under the name uncultured bacterium. RNAcentral's name for it is "partial 16S ribosomal RNA". It matches the Rfam family "Bacterial small subunit ribosomal RNA", at positions 524 to 776 of the family's 1533-position model. The record is from RNAcentral.
UACGAAGGGUGCAAGCGUUACUCGGAAUUACUGGGCGUAAAGCGUGCGUAGGUGGUUUGUUAAGUCUGAUGUGAAAGCCCUGGGCUCAACCUGGGAAUUGCAUUGGAUACUGGCAGGCUAGAGUGCGGUAGAGGAUGGCGGAAUUCCCGGUGUAGCAGUGAAAUGCGUAGAGAUCGGGAGGAACACCGGUGGCGAAGGCGGGUCUCUGGGCAAUUCCUGACGCUGAGGCGCGAAAGCGUGGGGAGCAAACGGG